RNAcentral lists this ribosomal RNA (492 nucleotides) under uncultured bacterium. RNAcentral's name for it is "partial 16S ribosomal RNA". It matches the Rfam family "Bacterial small subunit ribosomal RNA", at positions 29 to 507 of the family's 1533-position model. The record is from RNAcentral.
AGUGAACGCUGGCGGUAGGCCUAACACAUGCAAGUCGAACGGCAGCACAGUAAGAGCUUGCUCUUACGGGUGGCGAGUGGCGGACGGGUGAGGAAUACAUCGGAAUCUACUUUUUCGUGGGGGAUAACGUAGGGAAACUUACGCUAAUACCGCAUACGACCUACGGGUGAAAGCAGGGGAUCUUCGGACCUUGCCCGAUUGAAUGAGCCGAUGUCGGAUUAGCUAGUUGGCGGGGUAAGGGCCCACCAAGGCGACGAUCCGUAGCUGGUCUGAGAGGAUGAUCAGCCACACUGGAACUGAGACACGGUCCAGACUCCUACGGGAGGCAGCAGUGGGGAAUAUUGGACAAUGGGCGCAAGCCUGAUCCAGCCAUACCGCGUGGGUGAAGAAGGCCUUCGGGUUGUAAAGCCCUUUUGUUGGGAAAGAAAAGCAGCAGGUUAAUACCCCGCUGUUCUGACGGUACCCAAAGAAUAAGCACCGGCUAACUUCGUG